This 492-nucleotide ribosomal RNA is filed under the name uncultured bacterium. RNAcentral's name for it is "partial 16S ribosomal RNA". It matches the Rfam family "Bacterial small subunit ribosomal RNA", at positions 29 to 507 of the family's 1533-position model. The record is from RNAcentral.
AGUGAACGCUGGCGGUAGGCCUAACACAUGCAAGUCGAACGGCAGCACAGUAAGAGCUUGCUCUUACGGGUGGCGAGUGGCGGACGGGUGAGGAAUACAUCGGAAUCUACUUUUUCGUGGGGGAUAACGUAGGGAAACUUACGCUAAUACCGCAUACGACCUACGGGUGAAAGCAGGGGAUCUUCGGACCUUGCGCGAUUGAAUGAGCCGAUGUCGGAUUAGCUAGUUGGCGGGGUAAAGGCCCACCAAGGCGACGAUCCGUAGCUGGUCUGAGAGGAUGAGCAGCCCCACUGGAAGUGAGACACGGUCCAGCCUCCUACGGGAGGCAGCAGUGGGGAAUAUUGGACAAGGGGCGAAAGCCUGAUCCAGCCAUACCGCGUGGGUGAAGAAGGCCUUCGGGUUGUAAAGCCCUUUUGUUGGGAAAGAAAGGCAGCAGGUUAAUCCCCCGCUGUUUUGACGUUACCAAAAGAAUAAGCCCCGGCUAACUUCGUG